GGAUCUCAAGUUUUCAAAAAUCAAAUUUUGUUUGAUUUCUUUUUUCCGCUGCGAUUUUACCGUACGCAAUUUUUUAAUAGAUGGUAGUUGGAAAGGUGGCGAUUUGGGUGGAAUUGGUGUCCUCGUUACUAACCAGUAAGGUGUUUGCCUGUGUAUUUUGGAUUUUGUUGAAAAUAUUUAUGAUGCGCUGUCAACUGAAAUUGAAGCAGUGUCGAAAGCAACCAAAUUUCUCUUGGAUACCUUUCUGGGAGAACGAAUUCAGAUAUUCUCAGACUUAGCAUUGAUUAUUAUAACGAUUCACUUCAAAUCUGACU
This 314-nucleotide long non-coding RNA is filed under the name Ananas comosus (pineapple). Its description in RNAcentral is "long non-coding RNA (ACOM_LNC025748)". Lineage: Eukaryota; Viridiplantae; Streptophyta; Magnoliopsida; Poales; Bromeliaceae. The record is from RNAcentral.